Molecule: unclassified non-coding RNA, 359 nt
Filed under: Hevea brasiliensis (rubber tree)
Lineage: Eukaryota; Viridiplantae; Streptophyta; Magnoliopsida; Malpighiales; Euphorbiaceae
Source: RNAcentral
AAUUAGUAGGAUCAUAGUUCUUUCAUGAAUUCCAAAAACCACACAACUGUAACAAUCUGCAACAAUAGACACACAUACAAUCUAUGCAUUAGUAUAAUCUUGGGAUUUCUUGCUGGGAAUAUAUGUGAAAUGGCAUUUUCUUUCUGAAGAUUUGUGAAAGUGCAUUUAACCAAGAAAAGAAACUGAAAAGAAAUGCAUUAUCAAGCAAAUUAUACCCAAUGGAGAUACAUACAAGUCAUGACUUGCAAUCAGAUAAGCACGUCUGUCACCUAAAGGAAAAUUCAUACCUAGGCAAGAGUACAUGUGAUGAGCACUGUUUGAGAAACAGAGGAUCCCAGAACUAGCAGGUCCUUUUGUUG